GCGCUCUGGGUAGUCAUCCCACAUGCUCAUUCAAGAUGGCGGACGAAGAUGAUGAGAAGUUUUUGUAUGGAGGUGGUGAUUCUGAUACAAAGGAACCAAGUGUGGAAAUAAAGCAAGAGCCGCCAGAUGAUGAGGUUGUCACAGAAAAUGGACAAGCCAAAGAUGAAGAUGAUGCAAAAGAGGCAGGAGAACUGGUAAGUUGGAAAUUUUAUCACCAGUGGCCAGCAGAUCCUUGAAAGGUUGUCAAAAGAAGAUAAUGUCUAGAGGUCAGUGUUGCAGAGGUUGUUCCCAGCCCCCAUACUGACUUAUCCACCACUGGUCACAUUAAAAGAGAAGGUCACUCCAAAAAAUGUAUAUUUUUGCCAACGUCAAUAAAACCUGGCUCUAAGUUUAGCCACUCAGCAAAGUUUCAGCCUCUAAAGUGCAGGUUUUUGUUAUGACAUCUGUCUCCAAAGAAGCCCAAAAUUUGGCAUUGUUGCCGCCAUUUUGAACAGUACUCAGCAGCCAGGCUGCAUAUUUGUGAUGUCAUUCUGUCCAAGAGAUUUUGUCCAAAUGGCUUCUGAAAAGCCUUUUAACUAUCGUUAUGACUGCUCUUGAGCCGUAUUAUCUUGAGUCAAACAUGCUCCAAACUCCGAAAAUGAUUGCAGUGAAGAUAGUGAAGUACAUAAUCAGUUGGAAAAAAUACAUUUUGCUGACCUUGUGGAGGAUGCCAAGUCAGCUGCAGGUUUUUCUCCUUCCUGCCAAUUUCAAGUCGGAUGGAAUGACAUCACAUAAAUGUG
Molecule: long non-coding RNA, 779 nt
Organism: Orbicella faveolata
Lineage: Eukaryota; Metazoa; Cnidaria; Anthozoa; Scleractinia; Merulinidae
Source: RefSeq, a predicted model, not a curated record